CCUUACGAAUUUGAAUAUAUCCUAAAACUUUACGUUCCAAUAAAGUUAAAAAUGCAACUCCCACUAAUACCCCAAUUACUAAAAAUAAAAAAACUAAAAAUAUUAAAAUUAAAUCAAUUAUUAUUUGUAUAUAAAUACAUAAAAAGAUUCUAAAUCUAUCGCACUAUUCUGCCAAAAUAAUAAUUUUAUUCAAUAAAGAAAUUAUUAAUUAUAAAUUUGGUCCUUUCGUACUAAAAUUUAUUAAUUAUAUAAAGAUAGAAACCAACCUGGCUCACACCGGUUUAAACUCAGAUCAUGUAAAGUUUUAAUGGUCGAACAGACCAAAUUAUCAAGCUUCUACACCUAAUAUUAACUUUAAUCCAACAUCGAGGUCGCAAUCUCUUUUUUCGAUUUGAACUCUAAAAAAAAAUAACGCUGUUAUCCCUAAGGUAAUUUAAUCUUGUAAUCAUUUAUAUGGAUCAAAUUUUCAUGAAUUUAUGUUUAAAUUUAAAAAAAGUUAUUUAAAUUUUUUAAUCACCCCAAUUAAAUUUUAACUAAAAUAAUAAUUAAAAAAUUCUAAAAAUUAAAAUUUCAAUUAAAAUUAAACUCUAUAGGGUCUUCUCGUCUAUUAUAAAAAUUUAAGCUUUUUAACUUAAAAAUAAAGUUCUUAAAAAAUUAAACAUAGAAAGUUAUUUUUUCAUCAAACCAUUCAUACAAGCUUUCAAUUAAAAAACUAAUGAUUAUGCUACCUUUGCACAGUCAAAAUACUGCGGCCCUUCAAUUACUCAGUGGGCAGGCCCUACUUUAAAUUAUGAUCAAAAAGAGAUGUUUUUGUUAAACAGGCG
This 824-nucleotide ribosomal RNA is filed under the name Calvia quattuordecimguttata (cream-spotted lady beetle). RNAcentral describes it as "Calvia quatuordecimguttata (cream-spotted lady beetle) partial 16S ribosomal RNA". The record is from RNAcentral. Lineage: Eukaryota; Metazoa; Arthropoda; Insecta; Coleoptera; Coccinellidae.